This 253-nucleotide ribosomal RNA is filed under the name uncultured bacterium. RNAcentral's name for it is "partial 16S ribosomal RNA". It matches the Rfam family "Bacterial small subunit ribosomal RNA", at positions 524 to 776 of the family's 1533-position model. The record is from RNAcentral.
UACAGAGGUCCCAAGCGUUGUUCGGAUUCACUGGGCGUAAAGGGUGCGCAGGUGGGCUGUCAAGUUUGAUGUGAAAGCCCCGGGCUUAACCCGGGAAUGGCAUUGAAUACUGAUGGUCUGGAGGAUUGGAGGGGGGACUGGAAUUCUUGGUGUAGCAGUGAAAUGCGUAGAUAUCAAGAGGAACACCAGUGGCGAAGGCGACGUGCUGGGUUGCACCUGACGCUGAGAUGCGAAAGUGUGGGGAGCAAACGGG